GCUGCGGUGGGAUUCCUCGCAGUGAGCCGUUCUGGUCGCGAGGGACCGCGCUAAGAGCCUCCGCGGUGCCGGGAGUCGGAAGCGACGCCGAGGACCGUGAAAUGGAAGCUUUCUCCGAUUCCGCAGGCCGCGCGGGGGGUCCCGGCGGAGCCCGUUCGGCCCGAACGGGCGCGACGGCGGAAGCGGCGAGCGUUUCGGAGCCGCCGGGCGCUGAGAUCGGUCUCGUCGGAACUCGCGUCGGAGAGCCGCUCAACCGCCUCCGUUUUUUCGCGAUCCGGCCGAGAGCGAGCGUGAUCCCGGGGCCGCCUCGGACCCCGGGAGGGUUUCGCGGGCGCUUCGGCCCCUGCCGCUCGCCGCGGCGGAGCCCGUAUUUCCUCCCUCCUUCGUUUGCGUAACUUCAGACGCGUCGUCUCGCUUCUAUCGCGGAGACGCGGCGGGACGGCUUUCGAAACCGGUUCGCUGUUUCGGACGACGCGUUGCCUUCUGUAGAAAGGGAGACCGGCGACUCGGCGGGAGAGAGGCGGCGGCAGAGCGACGAGAGAAUGGGGAGCGCCGGGGGAAGAAGGCUCGAGUGGUAGGCAAGGGGCCGGAGGACGGCCGUCAUCGCCGAGGCGUUCAGAAAGGGCGAGGAGGACGGCUCGCACGACUACGGGGAACAGCCUUUUCGAGACGUCGUCCGCGAGCGAGAGGAAGUGAAGGGAUUUCUAAGGAGCAGCGUUCUACCGGGCUUGUUUGCAGCCGAUGUCUCCGUCUGGGCUUUGCUGAAAGCUGCGCUUGGAGAAGAAGAGGAGGAGCCCUACUGGGUAAUAGUCCUAGAAAUCUGCAGGAAACAGAGGUGGAGGAAAGCGAUGGCAAGCUGAUGAAGAAGAGGGAGAUGAGACCUGAUCCGGGUCUAUCAAUAUCUAAGGUGCGGGGGCCAGAGAGGCGAGGCCGGACUCUCGUCAGCGGCGUGCGGAAACAGGACGAGGGGAAACGGCCAGAAACUGGAGCUUAG
RNAcentral lists this long non-coding RNA (994 nucleotides) under Phasianus colchicus (ring-necked pheasant). RNAcentral's name for it is "lncRNA (ENSPCLG00000012773.1)". The record is from RNAcentral. Lineage: Eukaryota; Metazoa; Chordata; Aves; Galliformes; Phasianidae.